This 253-nucleotide ribosomal RNA is filed under the name uncultured bacterium. Its description in RNAcentral is "partial 16S ribosomal RNA". It matches the Rfam family "Bacterial small subunit ribosomal RNA", at positions 524 to 776 of the family's 1533-position model. The record is from RNAcentral.
UACAGAGGUCCCAAGCGUUGCUCGGAUUUACUGGGCGUAAAGGGCGCGUAGGCGGAUUUCUAAGUCGGGGGUGAAAGCCCAGGGCUCAACCCUGGAAUUGCCUUCGAUACUGGAAGUCUUGAGUACGGGAGAGGUGAGUGGAACUCCGAGUGUAGAGGUGAAAUUCGUAGAUAUUCGGAAGAACACCAGUGGCGAAGGCGACUCACUGGCCCGUUACUGACGCUGAGGCGCGAAAGCGUGGGGAGCAAACAGG